RNAcentral lists this ribosomal RNA (494 nucleotides) under uncultured bacterium. RNAcentral describes it as "partial 16S ribosomal RNA". It matches the Rfam family "Bacterial small subunit ribosomal RNA", at positions 28 to 504 of the family's 1533-position model. The record is from RNAcentral.
GAUGAACGCUGGCGGCGUGCCUAAUACAUGCGAGUCGAGCGAACAGACGAGGAGCUUGCUCCUCUGACGUUAGCGGCGGACGGGUGAGUAACACGUGGAUAACCUACCUAUAAGACUGGGAUAACUUCGGGAAACCGGAGCUAAUACCGGAUAAUAUAUUGAACCGCAUGGUUCAAUAGUGAAAGACGGUUUUGCUGUCACUUAUAGAUGGAUCCGCGCCGCAUUAGCUAGUUGGUAAGGUAACGGCUUACCAAGGCAACGAUGCGUAGCCGACCUGAGAGGGUGAUCGGCCACACUGGAACUGAGACACGGUCCAGACUCCUACGGGAGGCAGCAGUAGGGAAUCGUCCGCAAUGGGCGAAAGCUUGACGGAGCAACGCCGCGUGAGUGAUGAAGGUCUUCGGAUCGUAAAACUCUGUUAUUAGGGAAGAACAAAUGUGUAAGUAACUAUGCACGUCUUGACGGUACCUAAUCAGAAAGCCACGGCUAACUAC